This 598-nucleotide long non-coding RNA is filed under the name Nicotiana benthamiana. RNAcentral's name for it is "long non-coding RNA (NBEN_LNC025003)". The record is from RNAcentral. Lineage: Eukaryota; Viridiplantae; Streptophyta; Magnoliopsida; Solanales; Solanaceae.
CAGUGUUGAUCAGCAUGGGAGUCGGUUUAUACAGCAGAAAUUGGAAAAUUGUAGUAUUGAAGAGAAGGCAUCUGUUUUCAAAGAAAUUCUUCCACAUGCUUCAAAACUAAUGACGGAUGUGUUUGGGAAUUAUGUCGUUCAAAAGGUGUCCACUCUGGUUCUCUAUGUACUUUUACAUCUCGUCUUGACAUUUUUAAGAUUUUCAAACCCUUGAGCCUUUGACCUUCCAGCAUGUUAAACUAUUGCAUAUCUGAAUUUUGUGUCCAGUUCUUUGAGCAUGGAAGUCAUGAGCAAAGAAAGAUGUUGGCAUGUCAAUUAAAAGGACAAAUUCUUCCUUUAAGUUUGCAAAUGUAUGGCUGUCGUGUUAUUCAAAAGGUAUAUUCUCAAUUCAAGUACACAAACGUUAUUAGAAUCAGAAGGUGGUCGUUAUUCGUUAUUGUUGCAUGACAUGCAGCAUGUCCAGGGGGAUUUCCCAAAACUAAUGACAGAUGUGUUUGGAAAUUAUGUCAUUCAAAAGGUGUCCACCCUGAUUUUCUCUGUACUUUUACGUCUCGUCUUAACAUUUUAAGAUUUUCAAACCCUUAAGCCUUUGACCUUC